Molecule: ribosomal RNA, 313 nt
Filed under: uncultured eukaryote
Lineage: Eukaryota
Description: partial 18S ribosomal RNA
Rfam family: Eukaryotic small subunit ribosomal RNA
Source: RNAcentral
CCCUUAGAUGUUCUGGGCCGCACGCGCGCUACACUGAUGCAUUCAACGAGCCUAUCCUUGACCGACAGGUCCGGGUAAUCUUUGAACGCUGGUCGUGAUGGGGAUAGACUUUUGCAAUUUUUGGUCUUCAACGAGGAAUUCCUAGUAAACGCAAGUCAUCAACUUGCAUUGAUUACGUCCCUGCCCUUUGUACACACCGCCCGUCGCACCUACCGAUUGAAUGGUCCGGUGAAGCCUCCGGAUUGGCGCGCACCUCGGUGCCGCCGAGAAGUUGGCUAAACCUUACCAUUUAGAGGAAGGUGAAGUCGUAACA